CGAGUGCGGGCCCUCUGGGUCCACCUCCCAUCCGUGUCUAUCUGUACCCUGUUGCUUCGGCGUGGCCACGGCCCGCCGGAGACUAACAUUUGAACGCUGUCUGAAGUUUGCAGUCUGAGUUUUUAGUUAAACAAUCGUUAAAACUUUCAACAACGGAUCUCUUGGUUCCGGCAUCGAUGAAGAACGCAGCGAAAUGCGAUAAUUAAUGUGAAUUGCAGAAUUCAGUGAAUCAUCGAGUCUUUGAACGCACAUUGCGCCCCCUGGUAUUCCGGGGGGCAUGCCUGUCCGAGCGUCAUUGCUGCCCUCAAGCACGGCUUGUGUGUUGGGCUUCCGUCCCUGGCAACGGGGACGGGCCCAAAAGGCAGUGGCGGCACCAUGUCUGGUCCUCGAGCGUAUGGGGCUUUGUCACCCGCUCCCGUAGGUCCAGCUGGCAGCUAGCCUCGCAACCAAUCUUUUUAACCAGGUUGACCUCGGAUCAGGUAGGGAUACCCGCUGAACUUAAGCAUAUCAAUAAGCGGA
Molecule: ribosomal RNA, 519 nt
Filed under: uncultured fungus
Lineage: Eukaryota; Fungi
Description: eukaryotic LSU rRNA
Rfam family: 5.8S ribosomal RNA (bases 142-295)
Source: RNAcentral